Molecule: ribosomal RNA, 497 nt
Filed under: uncultured bacterium
Lineage: Bacteria
Description: partial 16S ribosomal RNA
Rfam family: Bacterial small subunit ribosomal RNA
Source: RNAcentral
GACGAACGCUGGCGGCGUGCCUAAUACAUGCAAGUUGAGCGCUGAAGGUUGGUACUUGUACCAACUGGAUGAGCAGCGAACGGGUGAGUAACGCGUGGGGAAUCUGCCUUUGAGCGGGGGACAACAUUUGGAAACGAAUGCUAAUACCGCAUAAAAACUUUAAACACAAGUUUUAAGUUUGAAAGAUGCAAUUGCAUCACUCAAAGAUGAUCCCGCGUUGUAUUAGCUAGUUGGUGAGGUAAAGGCUCACCAAGGCGAUGAUACAUAGCCGACCUGAGAGGGUGAUCGGCCACAUUGGGACUGAGACACGGCCCAAACUCCUACGGGAGGCAGCAGUAGGGAAUCCUCGGCAUUGGACGAAAGUCUGACCGAGCAACGCCGCGUGAGUGAAGAAGGGUUUCGGAUCGUAAAACUCUGUUGGUAGAGAAGAACGUUGGUGAGAGUGGAAAGCUCAUCAAGUGACGGUAACUACCCAGAAAGGGACGGCUAACUACGUG